CGCCGGCGGCUUUUCUCUCGCACUGUCGUUACGAUAACUUAUGUAAUUUUUUUUUGUACCGUGUCACCGACGACCAUCACACACGACGCCACGUCACGUACAGUUCAACUCUGUCCGCCCUCCUCUCGUACCGGCAAUCAACUGCGUACUUCUUUCACCACCACUCCACAAUCGCGACCGGACUGUCGCGGACGGACACACCAGCAACCAUAGCCCGUGUCAAAUUGAAUCAUCUCCUAGCGAAAACAUUCCAAAAAAUGAAAAUAAAAGGAAAUAAUGGCUAAAAAUCUUCAAAUCAAAUCAUUACUCAAUUUCAUCCGGCAUAGAAUCUGCGGUAAUCAUUUCGCAAUCAGUGAUUAUAAACAAGGCUCGGUUAAUCAGUAGGUAUAAUGGCCAGUCAAAACAUAAUCCAAACCACUUGUCUGGGAUAGAGAAGGAAAAUAGAUGUAAAUCAUUUACAGCAACACUGGUACUACUCUGAGGCCUGAGCACGGACCAGUAAAUUGGAAAGAGAAAAUUGUGUUUCUCCAACAAUGAGUUCAAAGAAUAUGAACAUAUAAAUAAAGGAUUUGGAGACAUUACCGAUGAUGAUUUUAGUUCGCCCAGAAAAGGCUUAGAAAAUUAAUAAUGUCUAAUUCACAGACCCUUAUUUCAUACAUUGGAUUAUACUUAUAAAACUGAAAUAUAUGAUGUACCACAUACAAGGAAGUCGAUCCAAUGUAUUGACAAUUUUUCAGACAUUGACUUUCUUGAAGAUAAUUCUGCCGGUUCAGACGAAGCCAUUAAU
This is a long non-coding RNA of Metopolophium dirhodum (rose-grain aphid), 787 nucleotides long. RefSeq lists it as uncharacterized. NCBI's taxonomy places the organism in Eukaryota, Metazoa, Arthropoda, Insecta, Hemiptera, Aphididae. The transcript is spliced from 5 exons. The record is from RefSeq and is a predicted model, not a curated record.